GGGUUAGUAGGUUGGUCAUGCCUCUGGUAUGUACUGGUCUCACUGAUUCCUCCUUCCUGAUGAGCCGUAAUGCCAUUAAUUUGGUGUUGCGGGGAAUUUGGACUUUUACUUUGAAUAAAUCAGAAAGCUUCAGUUGGGCCUUCGCUUGAAUGCUUCAGCAUGGAAUAAUAGAAUAGGACGUGCGUCUCUAUUUUGUUGGUUUCUAGGGACGCCGUA
This 216-nucleotide ribosomal RNA is filed under the name Campeiostachys nutans. RNAcentral's name for it is "Elymus nutans partial small subunit ribosomal RNA". Lineage: Eukaryota; Viridiplantae; Streptophyta; Magnoliopsida; Poales; Poaceae. The record is from RNAcentral.